AUGAACAUCGCCUUGCUGACCAGAUGGCUCUGGAGGAUUGCCAACGGUGAGGACGGGCUUUGGCUUGACAUCAUUAUAAACAAGUACCUUCGGGGCCAGCCGCUAGCCUUUUGCCAGCGCUCUGAAGGGUCCCAGUUCUGGCAAUCCAUCAUCCAGCUGCUUCCGGUCCUUCGCAUCAGUUCGUCCAUCUCGAUCGGCUCCGGCGCUGCUACAUUGUUCUGGUUCGAUCAUUGGGCGGGUGACGCCCCUUUUGCCGCUCGAUUCCCGGAUUUAUUUUCCACCGCGGUGGAGCCUAGGAUCUCGGUCGAGGUCGCUCUCUCGGACCUUGGGCGCCUCGCGUUCUGGCGCCCCUUUGGUCCCCCAGAUGUUGCUGCCUGGGAUGAGAUGCUCGAGUGCAUCUCCUUCCACACCCCCGACGUAGACAGGGUCUCGCAUCGCAUGUCGUGGCACCUUGAGCCCUCGAGCCGUUUCUCCACUCGGUCCUUGUACCAGGCCAUCGCCUCGUCGACGGCCCCGGCGGCUUUCACUGUUGUCUGGGCCAUCAAGCUGCCGCUCGAGAUAAGGAUAUUCCUAUUGCAAUGGAUUAGGGGUCGGAUACCUUCUGGGGUGGAGGUGCUCAAACGUAAUGGCCCUAGGGACGGAAUGUGUCCCCUCUGCGGUACAAUAGAGGAUGCGAACCACAUAUUCUUUGUGUGUGUCACGGCCCAAUUGUUGGGGAACGUAGUAAUUUCAAAAAAUUUCCUAUGCAUACGCAAGAUCAUGGUGAUGCAUAGGAACGAGAGGGGAGAGUGUUGUCCAUGUACCCUCGUAGACCAAAAGCGGAAGCGUUAG
RNAcentral lists this ribosomal RNA (831 nucleotides) under Triticum aestivum (bread wheat). RNAcentral describes it as "partial small subunit ribosomal RNA". Lineage: Eukaryota; Viridiplantae; Streptophyta; Magnoliopsida; Poales; Poaceae. The record is from RNAcentral.